GUCCCUCCCCCAACCACCCCGAACGGAUAGACAGCCAUGAAAGAGGCUGACACCUGCACACUCAGGCACGACUUAAAAUAGAACUUGUCAAACAGUGAUCCUCUCUGGAUCAAGCUCGGAACAACAAACAGCUCUUGAACUCGCCUCCCAGCCUAAAAAGACUGCAGUGCACGUACAAUUCAGAGGACUUUCGAAAUUAUCUAAAAACAUGGGUGAUUCUCACUGCCAGCCUUGUCUGUGAGAAAAGUACAUAUCUAUGUCUGCACAGAUACGAGACAAAAAAUAAACCUUUAAUUUUUAAAAAUUAAAAUGUACACAGUAAUCUUGCUGUUAGUAUUGAAUUAAAACUAAAUAGGCAUGACUGUUCCUUGAAAGGAAUGAUAUAAUUUUCUUUAAUAUUUCAUGAGGUCUUCCCUUUUCAAUAAAGAUUAUUGCAAGUCACCAGAAAUAUUAGGUAUCUUGAGGUAUAUUCAGAUCGUUUUAAUUGUCCUCUCAAAUGAAAAAGGUCAAUAUACAAAUCCACCAUAAUCAGUUUUGUUAUUAUUCAUAUUUAAUUGGACCUGCCAGUCAAGUUAACUCCCAGGAUAUGGGAACACGGUAAAAUUCUAAGUACCACAGGUUAUAAAAAAGUUCCUCAAAACCAGUACUUA
This 650-nucleotide long non-coding RNA is filed under the name Homo sapiens (human). RNAcentral's name for it is "non-protein coding lnc-MAB21L1-2:6". The record is from RNAcentral. Lineage: Eukaryota; Metazoa; Chordata; Mammalia; Primates; Hominidae.